RNAcentral lists this ribosomal RNA (279 nucleotides) under uncultured bacterium. RNAcentral describes it as "partial 16S ribosomal RNA". It matches the Rfam family "Bacterial small subunit ribosomal RNA", at positions 76 to 353 of the family's 1533-position model. The record is from RNAcentral.
CUUGCUAAGUUUGAUGGCGACCGGCGCACGGGUGAGUAACACGUAUCCAACCUGCCGAUGACUCGGGGAUAGCCUUUCGAAAGAAAGAUUAAUACCCGAUGGCAUAAUAGAACCGCAUGGUUUGAUUAUUAAAGAAUUUCGGUUAUCGAUGGGGAUGCGUUCCAUUAGGCAGUUGGUGGGGUAACGGCCCACCAAACCUUCGAUGGAUAGGGGUUCUGAGAGGAAGGUCCCCCACAUUGGAACUGAGACACGGACCAAACUCCUACGGGAGGCAGCAUG